RNAcentral lists this non-coding RNA (24 nucleotides) under Arabidopsis thaliana (thale cress). Lineage: Eukaryota; Viridiplantae; Streptophyta; Magnoliopsida; Brassicales; Brassicaceae. The record is from RNAcentral.
GUUAAGGAGUGUUAACGGUGAGUC